CUGCGCCGCGCCGCCAUGUCGCGGGUGAGCAGCCCCGGGCCGGCCGGCAGCGCCAAGGAGAAGCGCUCCUUCAGCAAGCGGCUCUUCCGCGGGCGGGCGGCGGGCGGCGGCGCGGGCUCGGCCCCGGCCGCCGCCCCGGCGCCCUCCGGGCGGUCGCUCGGCGGGUUCAUGAGCCGCGUGCUGAAGACCCUCUCCACGCUCUCGCACUACAGCAGCGAGCCCGAGCCCCGCGGCGCCCUCGCCCCGCGCCUGCCCCCGCCGCAGGCGGCGGGCGGCCUGGGCAGCUGCUUCCCGCCGGGCCCGCCGCGCAGCCCCGAGCCCCCGCCGCGCCCCGCCGGCGGCUCCGAGGCCGUGCCCGGCGUGGCGGGGCUGCGCAACCACGGCAACACCUGCUUCAUGAACGCCAUCCUGCAGUGCCUCAGCAACACCGAGCUCUUCGCCGAGUUCCUGGCGCUGGAGCAGUUCCGCGGCGGGCCGCCCCCCGCCGACGGGCCGCCGCCCGCGCCCGGCGAGGUCACGGAGCAGCUGGCGCAGCUGGUGCGGGCGCUCUGGACUCUGGAGUACACCCCGCAGCACAGCCGCGACUUCAAGAACAUUGUGUCCAAGAAUGCGAUGCAGUACCGUGGGAAUGCCCAGCACGAUGCCCAGGAGUUCCUCCUUUGGCUCCUCGACAGAGUGCACGAGGAUCUGAACAACGUGGUGAAUUCCAGCAGCAUGCCUCCGAUCAAGCCGCCACUGGAGGAUGAUGUGCUGCUUGAGGGCCCAGCCUUUCCCAUCAGUAGCACUUUCGUGCAGGAACUCUUUCAAGCCCAGUACAGGUCCUCCCUGACGUGCCCUCAUUGCCAGAAGCAAAGCAACACCUUUGACCCUUUCCUCUGCAUCUCGCUGCCGAUCCCUCUGCCCCACACACGGCCACUCUUUGUCACUGUGGUGUACCAGGGCAAGUGCUCGCACUGCAUGCGGAUUGGAGUGGCUGUGCCCAUCUCUGGAACGGUGGCCAGGCUGCGGGAGGCCGUCUCCUCGGAAACCAAGAUACCCACGGAGCAGAUCGUGCUGACGGAGAUGUACUACGAUGGGUUCCAUCGCUCCUUCUGCGACACUGAUGACCUGGACACCAUCCAUGAGAGCGACUGCAUUUUUGCCUUUGAGACCCCAGAGAUCUUCAGGCCCGAGGGCAUCCUCAGUCAGAGAGGAAUACAUGUGAACAAUAACCUGAAUAACUUGAAAUGUGGCACUGAGCACUCCCGAACAAUAGCUUACUCUCAAGGAAUGGUGAAGUCUGGAAAACUGGAACAGUCCUCUACUAAACCAGCAGCAAAUGACAAGAUUGUCUUGCUGGUGUGUAACAGAGCAUGCACUGGACAGCAGAGCAAAAGGUUUGGCUUGCCCUUUGUGUUGCAUUUGGAAAAAACAAUUGCUUGGGAUAUUCUGCAGAAGGAAAUUCUGGAGAAGAUGCAGUAUUUCCUGCGGCCUGCAGCCUGCUUGCAGGUUUGCCCGUUCAGCUUGCGAGUGGUCAGUGUUGUGGGCAUAACGUACUUGCUACCUCAGGAGGAGCGACCCCUCUGCCACCCAACAGUGGAAAGGGCAUUGAAGUCAUGUGGACAGGGGGGAACUGCUCAUGUGAAAUUAGUGGUAGAAUGGGACAAAGAAACUAAAGAUUACUUGUUUGUGAAUACGGAAGAGGAGUAUAUUCCAGACUCUGAAAGCGUCCGCCAGCAGAGAGAGCUUCAUCAUCAACCUCAGAUCUGCACUUUAUCUCAGUGUUUCCAACUGUACACCAAAGAGGAACAGCUUGCCCCAGAUGACGCAUGGCGAUGCCCACACUGCAAGCAGCUGCAGCAGGGUAGCAUCACACUGAGCCUCUGGACCUUACCUGAUGUUCUCAUCAUACAUCUCAAAAGGUUUAGACAGGAAGGAGACCGAAGGAUGAAACUUCAGAACAUGGUUAAAUUCCCCCUGAGUGGCUUGGACAUGACUCCUCAUGUUGUGAAACGCAGCCAGAGCAGCUGGAGCUUGCCAUCGCACUGGUCACCUUGGAGGAGACCUUAUGGCCUCGGGAGGGAUCCUGAGGACUAUAUCUAUGACCUGUAUGCUGUCUGCAACCACCAUGGCACCAUGCAAGGGGGACACUAUACAGCAUAUUGCAAGAACUCUGUUGAUGGCCAGUGGUACUGCUUCGAUGACAGUGAUGUUCAGCAACUUUCUGAAAGCGAAGUCUGCAAGCAGACAGCUUACAUCCUGUUCUACCAGCGACGCACAGCAAUCCCCUCGUGGUCUGCCAACAGCUCGGUGGCAGGCUCCACGAGCUCCUCGCUGUGCGAGCACUGGGUCAGCCGGCUCCCUGGCAGCAAACAGCCCAGCAUCGCCUCGGCCGCCUCGUCGCGCCGCACCUCCCUCGCCUCGCUCUCGGAGUCGGUGGAGCUCGCUGGGGAACGGAGUGAAGAUGAUGGAGGAUUUUCAACUCGGCCAUUUGUAAGGAGUGUCCAGCGUCAGAGCUUGUCGUCCAGAUCCUCUGUCACCAGCCCACUGGCAGUGAGUGAAAACGGCGUCAGACCCUCAUGGUCACUCUCUGCAAAACUCCAGUUCCGCUCCAACUCCCCGUCGCGCUUCUCUGGAGAUUCCCCAGUACACACUUCUGCUUCCACCCUGGAGAAGAUUGGGGAAGCUACUGAUGACAAAGUCUCCACCUCAUGUUUUGGCAGCCUGAGGAAUCUGUCCAGUAGCUACUUGGAGCCUUGUGACAGCGGUCGGCGAGAGCACAGGACGGCUCGUAGAGCCCCUUUGGCUGUCAUGGAAGGGGCGUUCAGGGAAGAGUCGGUUGUAAGGACAUCAAGCUCAGACCUUUCAGAUGGGUAUGGUAAAAGCUCUGUGCAGCCAGACAGGAAUCACCCUGCUCUGGACCCUUUUGAUAACAACAAUCAAAUCGCCUUUGUUGACCAGAGCGAUUCUGUGGACAGCUCCCCAGUGAAGGAGGUGAAAGCCCCUGGUGGGACGGGGCUGGCUGCAGAGAAGGCACGUGACACCCCUAAGAAGGGUCACAGCUCCAAGGGAGCUUCUGAGCCGGACAAAAGUAUGAGGAAGGGAAGGACGGUUUUAUCUACCCAAGAGACCAAAGUCUCUCACUCUUCUCCUCCACUGAAGAGUUCCCAGAAAGUUUCCCGGUCUAGAAGUAAGACAGACUCUUCUAGGGCCAGUGGGCGACAUGGGUCUCCUGCUCCUGCUCAGGCUAGGAAGGAUCACAGCACGAAGCCACUGGAGACAUCUGUUCCAUCGGCGCAACAGAGGCAAAAGUCAGGUUCUUCUCCAUCCUCCACAGCUGCCAAGAAAACCCCAUCAGGCUCACUGACUAAGGGCUCUUCCGCUGGGAAGAGCCGGACUUCCGACCGCAGCCUCAGCAGGGAGGGCUCCAAGAUAAGUCUGGGGUCGGAUAAAACAAGCGUUACCAGCAGCUCAAGAACGAGCUCCCCACGGAUCAGCCACUCCAGGAGCGACAGCAGGGCAGUGGACAGCAAGCACGUGCGGAGCUCCUCCAUGGCCAACCUGCGGUCUCCAAAUGCCGGGGCACGUUCUGGUUUGAAGAGGGACAGCAAGUCAGAAGAGAAAGGGUUGUCUUUCUUUAAAUCAGCCUUAAGGCAGAAGGAGACCCGGAGGUCAGCAGACCUGGGGAAGACAACAAUGCUCUCAAAAAAGACAGGGAGUGUCAGUUCCAAGUCGGGCAGUAAAAACAUGCUGGAGGAUAAACCAGAGAAAGGUGUUGUCCCACCAGCCUCCCAAACCAAUGCCAACAUUACUGCUAAAGAAAAACUUGUCUCAAAGGAUACCACACCCAACAAACAUUCUCUGCUAUCCAGUCGCAAGUCCAAGUCUUCCCAGCUAGAUCCUGGAGUCCAGUCUUCUCCUUCCAGUGGCAAGCAGCCUGCUGACAAGCCGCUGAAAAAAUUACCUUCCAGCAUGCAGGUGUCUGUACAGCCUUCUCUGGAACCUCAGUGAAAUGCUGCAAUCCAGACCAUCAGCCCAGGUCCUGCGGCGCUCGGCCACAGUCCCGAGAGCGAGGGGGGGACCUGCACCAGAGCCUUUGUGCCGCAGGGUGUGCAGUGGUGGUUCUGGACCGAGGGGAGCGUGUGGCUGCCAGAUGGGAAUAUGUGGAUGGGCUGUUCCUGCCACCUGCCCAGUGAGGAUGAGGAUGGAGCAAGGCAGGAGGAGGAUGGGCUGUUGCUCCCAGCUGCUGAAGGGAAACCUCUGUCCCUGGUGUAUCAUCUGUAGGUGACCCCCUGGGCUGGGAGAGCUGCUCCAGCUGCCGUGGCUGCAGGCACCAUCCCCGUGGCUGCUGGGCUGCCCAGUCUCAGGUCAAACGGGGUGCAAAAUGCUUUAGUGGUCCAGCAUGUCCUCUCAGCUGAAGAACGGGGAAGAAUGGAAGACAAUGUGGUUGGCUCUUGGAGGGCAUUUCCACUGCAGACUGUGAUCCUACUGCUCCAUUAAGCCCUCGGAUUGGUGCAGCAGGGGCUGGGUCAAGCUUCACAAACUCACCUUUCAACACAAUUUUUAAUUUGCAAGGAUUUUUUCCUCUCUCCUUUCUCCUCCAUGCACGUUUUUGCAGGGGGGGGACUGUUGACACAGGUCAGCAGCACUGUUGGUGCAUGCCCCAUGCUCCUUCAGUGCUCACCAAGGUGGGAGUUACCUUUGAAUCCCCCUUGGUCCCCAAAUCUCCAAAUUGACCGCCCUGAUCUCCCAUUGCCUGGCUUUGGUCACAGAAAUGCUGAUGGUGCGUUUGCCAACAGCUAUGCUGCAUCACCCCUUGCUCCCACGGGUCCCUGAGCCUCUGGGGACACAUGGCCCCUGCCAGCCCCUGCCAUGCAGCUUUGGUCUGUGUUUCUAUCCAUCCUGCUGGGAAAGGCAAGCCAGAGCCUCAGCCUGGGUGCUGUGCUGGGCAGUCACGCACAUGAGUCCCACCCUUACCAUGUACUAGAGGCAUUGCUUCACUUGUGUAGAAAUGGGGAUGGCAGAUGUCGUAUUAAAUCAUGGGCUCAUCACUUAUCUAUAGGUGAUUACAUUAAAGAGAGAUUAAUAUAGCCAAAGGCUUUGCAGAAUUAGAGUUAAUGUACUUGUGUUUAUUAUAUUUGCCAACGUUUCUCCAAUCCAGCUGGGUUUUUCUGGCCGUGGGAUUUAACAGAGACCCUGCUGCUGUUCUCCAGCCUUGCUGGGAGGGAGCAAGAGGCCCAUGGAAAACACAUGAGAACUUUGAUCUUCGAGAGAUUAAUUUUAUUGCCUCCCUCUUUCUGAGGGUCUGUGGCAGGGGCUUGGUGCACAGUGAGGACAGAGCAGGGCAGGACUCAGGGGUGGUUAAAGCUGUGUCAGGAGGGGAGCC
This is an RNA transcript of Empidonax traillii (willow flycatcher), 5365 nucleotides long. It is a transcript of the gene named ubiquitin specific peptidase 31, with no coding region annotated. NCBI's taxonomy places the organism in Eukaryota, Metazoa, Chordata, Aves, Passeriformes, Tyrannidae. The transcript has 18 exons. The record is from RefSeq and is a predicted model, not a curated record.